RNAcentral lists this ribosomal RNA (450 nucleotides) under uncultured bacterium. RNAcentral's name for it is "bacterial SSU rRNA". It matches the Rfam family "Bacterial small subunit ribosomal RNA", at positions 328 to 795 of the family's 1533-position model. The record is from RNAcentral.
UAGCCAGACUCCUACGGGAGGCAGCAGUGGGGAAUAUUGCACAAUGGGGGAAACCCUGAUGCAGCGACGCCGCGUGAGCGAUGAAGUAUUUCGGUAUGUAAAGCUCUAUCAGCAGGGAAGAAAAUGACAGUACCUGACUAAGAAGCCCCGGCUAACUACGUGCCAGCAGCCGCGGUAAUACGUAGGGGGCAAGCGUUAUCCGGAUUUACUGGGUGUAAAGGGAGCGUAGACGGCAAUGCAAGCCAGAUGUGAAAGCCCGGGGCUCAACCCCGGGACUGCAUUUGGAACUGUGUAGCUGGAGUGUCGGAGAGGCAGGCGGAAUUCCUAGUGUAGCGGUGAAAUGCGUAGAUAUUAGGAGGAACACCAGUGGCGAAGGCGGCCUGCUGGACGAUGACUGACGUUGAGGCUCGAAAGCGUGGGGAGCAAACAGGAUUAGAUACCCCCGUACAC